This 71-nucleotide ribosomal RNA is filed under the name Pseudoalteromonas sp. S327. Its description in RNAcentral is "partial 16S ribosomal RNA". It matches the Rfam family "Bacterial small subunit ribosomal RNA", at positions 1469 to 1533 of the family's 1533-position model. The record is from RNAcentral. Lineage: Bacteria; Pseudomonadati; Pseudomonadota; Gammaproteobacteria; Alteromonadales; Pseudoalteromonadaceae.
UCAUGACUUUGGUUGUAGUCGUAACAAGGUAGCCCUAGGGGAACCUGGGGCUGGAUCACCUCCUUAUACGA